Molecule: ribosomal RNA, 571 nt
Filed under: Papiliotrema laurentii
Lineage: Eukaryota; Fungi; Basidiomycota; Tremellomycetes; Tremellales; Rhynchogastremaceae
Description: eukaryotic LSU rRNA
Rfam family: Eukaryotic large subunit ribosomal RNA
Source: RNAcentral
CGGGAAGAGCUCAAAUUUGAAAUCUGGCGUCCUCAGGGCGUCCGAGUUGUAAUCUAUAGAGGCGUUUUCCGUGCCGGACCGUGUCCAAGUUCCUUGGAACAGGAUAUCAAAGAGGGUGACAAUCCCGUACUUGACACGACGACCGGUGCUCUGUGAUACGUCUUCUACGAGUCGAGUUGUUUGGGAAUGCAGCUCAAAAUGGGUGGUGAGUUCCAUCUAAAGCUAAAUAUUGGCGAGAGACCGAUAGCGAACAAGUACCGUGAGGGAAAGAUGAAAAGCACUUUGGAAAGAGAGUUAAACAGUACGUGAAAUUGUUGAAAGGGAAACGAUUGAAGUCAGUCGUGACCGAGAGGCUCAGCCGGUUCUGCCGGUGUAUUCCCCUCGGUCGGGUCAACAUCAGUUUUGUCCGGUGGAUAAGGACGGUAGGAAGGUGGCACCCUCGGGUGUGUUAUAGCCUGCCGUCGCAUACAUCGGGUGAGACUGAGGAACGCAGCUCGCCUUUAUGGCCGGGGUUCGCCCACGUCCGAGCUUAGGAUGUUGACAUAAUGGCUUUAAACGACCCGUCUUGAAA